RNAcentral lists this ribosomal RNA (427 nucleotides) under uncultured bacterium. RNAcentral describes it as "bacterial SSU rRNA". It matches the Rfam family "Bacterial small subunit ribosomal RNA", at positions 355 to 774 of the family's 1533-position model. The record is from RNAcentral.
UGGGGAAUUUUGGACAAUGGGCGCAAGCCUGAUCCAGCAAUGCCGCGUGCAGGAUGAAGGCCUUCGUGUUGUAAACUGCUUUUGUACGGAACGAAACGGCUCUGGUUAAUACCUGGGGCUAAUGACGGUACCGUAAGAAUAAGCACCGGCUAACUACGUGCCAGCAGCCGCGGUAAUACGUAGGGUGCGAGCGAUAAUCGGAAUUACUGGGCGUAAAGCGUGCGCAGGCGGUGAUGUAAGUCAGAUGUGAAAUCCCCGGGCUCAACCUGGGACCUGCACUUGUGACUGCAUCGCUGGAGUGCGGCAGAGGUGGAUGGAAUUCCGCGUGUAGCAGUGAAAUGCGUAGAUAUGCGGAGGAACACCGAUGGCGAAGGCGAUCCCCUGGGCAUGCACUGACGCUCAUGCACGAAAGCGUGGGGAGCAAACA